RNAcentral lists this ribosomal RNA (253 nucleotides) under Clostridioides difficile. RNAcentral describes it as "partial 23S ribosomal RNA". It matches the Rfam family "Bacterial large subunit ribosomal RNA", at positions 1771 to 2023 of the family's 2925-position model. Lineage: Bacteria; Bacillati; Bacillota; Clostridia; Peptostreptococcales; Peptostreptococcaceae. The record is from RNAcentral.
UCCGGUGGGCAGAGAAUAGGCCCAAGCGACUGUUUACCAAAAACAUAGGUUUCUGCUAAGUCGCAAGACGAUGUAUAGGAGCUGACGCCUGCCCGGUGCUGGAAGGUUAAGGGGAUCUGUUAGAGUAAUCGAAGCAGUGAACUUAAGCCCCAGUAAACGGCGGCCGUAACUAUAACGGUCCUAAGGUAGCGAAAUUCCUUGUCGGGUAAGUUCCGACCCGCACGAAAGGCGUAACGAUUUGGGCACUGUCUCA